GGAGGUAUAACUUAGUGGUAGAGCAUGUGCCUAGCAUGUGUGAGGCCCUGGGUUUGAUCUGAGUACUACAGAAAUAAAGAAAAGGAGGGCUGGGGAUAGAGUGGUAGAGUGCUUGCCUCACAUGCACAAGACCCUGGGUUUAAUCCCCAGCACCAUUA
Molecule: transfer RNA, 158 nt
Filed under: Marmota monax (woodchuck)
Lineage: Eukaryota; Metazoa; Chordata; Mammalia; Rodentia; Sciuridae
Description: tRNA.Ala
Source: RNAcentral